AACCAAAAAAACAAAUGAAAAAUG
RNAcentral lists this ribosomal RNA (24 nucleotides) under Reinia hungerfordiana hungerfordiana. RNAcentral describes it as "partial 5.8S rRNA". Lineage: Eukaryota; Metazoa; Mollusca; Gastropoda; Stylommatophora; Clausiliidae. The record is from RNAcentral.